GACAGAGGAGCCAAGCGUUGUCCGGAUUGACUGGGCGUAAAGCGCACGCAGGCGGGUGCGCGCGUGGGGUGUGAAAUCUGGCCGCUUAACGGCCAGGCGCCAUCCCAUACGGCCGGACUGGAGCCUUGCAGAGGUCGGUGGAAUUGCCGGUGUAGUGGUGAAAUGCGUAGAGAUCGGCAGGAACACCCAGGGGGAAACCAGCCGACUGGGCAUCUGCUGACGCUGAGGUGCGAGAGCGUGGGGAGCGAACCGG
Molecule: ribosomal RNA, 253 nt
Filed under: uncultured bacterium
Lineage: Bacteria
Description: partial 16S ribosomal RNA
Rfam family: Bacterial small subunit ribosomal RNA
Source: RNAcentral